Molecule: small RNA, 68 nt
Filed under: Pedobacter xixiisoli
Lineage: Bacteria; Pseudomonadati; Bacteroidota; Sphingobacteriia; Sphingobacteriales; Sphingobacteriaceae
Description: Flavo-1 RNA
Rfam family: Flavo-1 RNA
Source: RNAcentral
UGUUAAACCCGAUAGAAGCGGCAUCCUUUUAGCUAAGCGAAAAGAUACAGCGGAUAGCGGGACUGCCA